GAGGCUUCUAGAACUGAAGCAGAGGCUCUCCCUUCCCAAUUAAGUGGUCAAUAACUGUGCCACCGUCCUGCCUGGCCAUUUUAUCUGAAGCUGCCCAGGGAUCCUGCAGCAAUGGAACAUGCCCUCCAGUCCUGUGGCUGAGGAGGCUCCUGUGGCCCACCACCCCCUGCACGCUGGACAGGGGGCCUGGGUUGGCAGAGCCACAGGCACAGGGCCCUCUGCACGGGGAGGAGGAGGAGGAGGAGGAGGAAGGGCUCCUCCAACCGCAGGCCUGAGCAGAGGCUGUGCAGUGCCACUGCUGUGCUAAGGGUGUUUCCUCCCCACAGCAGCACACCCACACCAGCUCCCCUUCUGGGAGACCACCCCUGGCUUUGCUUCAGGGGGAGACAUUCCCAUCACCUCCAGCACAGCCAUGCUGAGGAUGCUCUGUGAUGAAGAAGAGUCACCCACUUGGUUUCUUCGCUCUGGGCAGUGUUCAUGGCACAGAGCCUCAGCUGUGGUGGCUCUGUUUGAACUCUGAGGCCAACUGGCUGUCCAAAAGACAAUUGCAUGGGAAAGCUGUGCCGGCGUAAGACAAAUCGUCAGUUUACCACCAUCACACACCUUGUACAGAUGUUCUUCAGUUUAACUGCCACUGCUGUGUAAAGUGCUUAUUUCAAAGUGAAAAGGCUGUUUUUAUCCAGAACUGUCCAGAAGACGUCAUAGUGCUGUAAUUAUAUCAGCAAUAAACAGUGAAGCUGCCACGGAGAGAGGAGCAAGCACAGCAAGGAGUUCUGCAGGGUGCUGGUGCCAAGCCAUAUCAAGGCAAUAGAAUUUAUGGCCACUAUUAUCUGCGUGAGGUAUAUUUAUGAUUCCCCUCCCUGUUGCUCUGUUAUCUUCAAAUCUCACAAUAUUUGUAUAUUAAUUCCCACAACAUUCCUGUAGGUAAGGAAAUUGCAUACAAGAAGCCCAGUAUUGGAGUCUCUUCAUGCAACAUGGAGCAGGGUUUGGAAGGUGGAGAAAUGAGAGAAAUUUUCAGCAGUUACAGGUGAGAAGCCUAGAGAAGCCUACGAGGCUGGUGCUGCAGCGACAGGCAGGGGGACAAGCUGAGCUCUUCAGUGAAGGAGGUGCUGCCCAACUGCCAGCAGGAAGCCAGCUGCAUUUCCUGGGCAGGUCCCAGCGUGAAUCGAAGCUGAAUUUGAGCAAUAACCCUUCUGAUGUCUCCGGGGGAGGAGAUGUGACGUCUUGAGGUAAACCACACAUCCCGUAACUACCACUGUGCCAUUCGUGAGCGCUGCCUCGCUACACAAGUGGCAGAAUUGCUUUUCAGCAAAAGUCACCACGGUUUUGGAGGGGAAGAGUUCCAGUCAGAGAAAGACCGGGUGGCGGGGAGAAAGAAAACCCGACCGCAAUAAAGCAGCAUUGAACCUGAAAGGAAAAAGACGU
This 1425-nucleotide long non-coding RNA is filed under the name Junco hyemalis (dark-eyed junco). RNAcentral's name for it is "lncRNA (ENSJHYG00000011422.1)". The record is from RNAcentral. Lineage: Eukaryota; Metazoa; Chordata; Aves; Passeriformes; Passerellidae.